Oryza glaberrima (African rice) is the source of this 207-nucleotide non-coding RNA. Lineage: Eukaryota; Viridiplantae; Streptophyta; Magnoliopsida; Poales; Poaceae. The record is from Rfam.
UUCAAGUGUAAUUGUUGGUUUCCGUGUCCAAUAUUUGAUCGUUGUCUUAUUUAAAUUUUUUUUGUUAUGAUUAAUAUUUUUAUUAUUAUUAGAUGAUAAAAUAUAAAUAGUACUUUAUGAGUGACUUAUUUUUUUAUUUUUUUAUAAAUUUUUUAAAUAAGACGAACGAUCUAACGUUGGACACAGAAAUUCACGAUUGCAUUUAAA